GUGGGUUUUAGUAGUGGGUUUUAGUAGUGGGUUUACGUAGUAGUGGGUUUUAGUAGUGGGCUUUAGUAGUGGGUUUUAGUAGUGGGUUUUAGUUGUGGGUUUUAGUAGUGGGUUUUAGUGGGAGGUUUUAGUGGGAGGUUUUAGUAGUAGUGGGUUUUAGUAGUGGUGGGUUUUAGUAGUAGUGGGUUUUAGUAGUAGUGGGUUUUAGUAGUGGGUUUUAGUAGUGGGUUUUAGUAGUGUUUUUUAGUUGUGGGUUUUAGUAGCGGGUUUUAGUGGGAGGUUUUAGUAGUGGGUUUUAGUAGUGGGUUUUAGUGGGAGGUUUUAGUAGUAGUGGGUUUUAGUAGUUGUGGGUUUUAGUAGUGGGUUUUAGUAGUAGUGGGUUUUAGUAGUGGGUUUUAGUAGUGGGUUUUAGUAGUUUUGGGUUUUUGUAGUGGGUUUUAGUAGUAGUGGGUUUUAGUAUGGGUUUUAGUCGUGGGUUUUAGUAGUUUUGGGUUUUUGUAGUGGGUUUUAGUAGUAGUGGGUUUUAGUAGUGGGUUUUAGUAGUAGUGGGUUUUAGUAGUGGGUUUUAGUAGUGGGUUUACGUAGUAGUGGGUUUUAGUAGUGGGUUUUAGUAGUAGUGGGUUUUAGUAGAGGGGUUUUGUAGUGGGUUUUAGUAGUAGUACUUCAGCUCCACGCCAGCUGUGCUCUCAGGAUGGGUAUCAGCUCAUUGUCUAUGUCAUCAGAGGUCAGUGCAUACUGCUCAGUACAUCACUGGGGCCAAGUGUCCUGUCAUCCAGGACCUUUAUACCAGGCGGUGUCCAGUCACCCUAGUCACAGACUUUUCUCUCUGCAACCGCACGGUAAGCGGUACCAGAGCGCCAAUUCUGGGUCCAAAAGGAUUCUUAUCAGCUUCUACCCAGAAGCCAUAAGACUCAUGAACUGCUAAUAAA
Long non-coding RNA from Oncorhynchus tshawytscha (Chinook salmon), 929 nucleotides. NCBI's taxonomy places the organism in Eukaryota, Metazoa, Chordata, Actinopteri, Salmoniformes, Salmonidae. The record is from Ensembl.